This 520-nucleotide unclassified non-coding RNA is filed under the name uncultured Paraglomus. RNAcentral's name for it is "SSU rRNA". It matches the Rfam family "Eukaryotic small subunit ribosomal RNA", at positions 569 to 1098 of the family's 1831-position model. Lineage: Eukaryota; Fungi; Glomeromycota; Glomeromycetes; Paraglomerales; Paraglomeraceae. The record is from RNAcentral.
CGCAGCCGCGGUAAUCCCAGCUCCAAUAGCGUAUAUUAAAGUUGUUGUGGUUAAAAAGCUCGUAGUUGAACCUUGGGCCUGGCUGGCCGGUCCGCCUCACCGCGUGUACUGGUCCGGCCGGGUCUUUCCCCCUGUGGAACCCCAUGCCCUUCACUGGGUGUGGCGGGAAAACGGGACUUUUACUUUGAAAAAUUAGAGUGCUCCAGGCAGGCCUAUGCUCGAAUACAUUAGCAUGGAAUAAUAGAAUAGGACGUGUGGUUCUAUUUUGUUGGUUUCUAGGACCGCCGUAAUGAUUAAUAGGGACAGUCGGGGCAUCAGUAUUCAAUCGUCAGAGGUGAAAUUCUUGGAUUGAUUGAAGACUAACUACUGCGAAAGCAUUUGCCAAGGAUGUUUUCAUUAAUCAGGAACGAAAGUUAGGGGAUCGAAGACGAUCAGAUACCGUCGUAGUCUUAACCAUAAACUAUGCCGACUAGGGAUCGGACGAUGUUAUUUUUGUACUCGUUCGGCACCUUACGGAAAC